AUUGAACGCUGGCGGCAGGCCUAACACAUGCAAGUCGAGCGGUAGAGAGGUGCUUGCAUCUCUUGAGAGCGGCGGACGGGUGAGUAAUGCCUAGGAAUCUGCCUAGUGGAGGGGGAUAACGUUCGGAAACGGACGCUAAUACCGCAUACGUCCUACGGGAGAAAGCGGGGGGAUCUUCGGACCUCGCGCCAUUAGAUGAGCCUAGGUCGGAUUAGCUAGUUGGUGAGGUAAUGGCUCACCAAGGCGACGAUCCGUAACUGGUCUGAGAGGAUGAUCAGUCACACUGGAACUGAGACACGGUCCAGACUCCUACGGGAGGCAGCAGUGGGGAAUAUUGGACAAUGGGCGAAAGCCUGAUCCAGCCAUGCCGCGUGUGUGAAGAAGGUCUUCGGAUUGUAAAGCAC
RNAcentral lists this ribosomal RNA (404 nucleotides) under uncultured bacterium. RNAcentral describes it as "bacterial SSU rRNA". It matches the Rfam family "Bacterial small subunit ribosomal RNA", at positions 30 to 433 of the family's 1533-position model. The record is from RNAcentral.